Bactrocera oleae (olive fruit fly) is the source of this 1071-nucleotide non-coding RNA. The record is from RefSeq and is a predicted model, not a curated record. NCBI's taxonomy places the organism in Eukaryota, Metazoa, Arthropoda, Insecta, Diptera, Tephritidae.
UAUAUAAGGGACUAAAAAAAGGAUCCCGGUCGCUUUUUAGUAUUCGAUUCGCUACGAUCACAUCUUUUUCGGUUCGGACACCCGCCUAAAUUCACUUCGUUUUUUUUCCUUGUUCAACUGAUUUUACGAACGUUUUAAAACAAAUAGAAUCACAGACGACCUGUGGAACAGGCCUACUGGGGAAACCACGUUAAAUCGUAUCUCGCUAAGUAAACUACCUCAUAGGUGGCGUGGAAACGUGCGCAAAAUAUGAGGAUUACAAAUUAUCCAACUUUUUAAAGCGUUAUAUCUCCAAAAUGGUGGCUCUUAAGAAAAAAAAAUUUCCGUAUUUUUUGUAAAGAAUCUCGUUAUCUAAACACACGUAACAACACGUAAGUAUAUAAUAAAUAAAAAUUCGAAAAUCCGAUGAAAAACUUUAAAACUUCUGGAUGAAUUCCGAAAAAUGUCUUUACACAUUUUACUAGCAUUGAAGCAUGCUAGCGUGUCAAAAAAGAGUGAGAAAGCUGUUCCUUUAUUAAACCUUUAAAUGAACCAUUUUAGUAAUACAUAAUACACAAAAUAUUAUUACUGGCUGAUUAUACAUAUUAGAAGUGUUAUAGUAUUAUUUCAAAUAUUAUUAUAAUUCUUAGUAUAUAUGUUCAUAUAUUUACCUGAUGAAGUUUGUGCACACUGUUUUGACGAAACAAAAUGUCCAUUAAUGAAUGGUUCUGAGGACACAUUAUUAUUACUGCUAAUGCCUGGCAGGGGAGGAGCUGGUCGAUUGAAUGGAUUGUAUCUUCGGGGUGGUGGUCUUGGCACAUUUGUUGCGGAAUUGGCUUCGGUAAUAAUUUCUGCAAUUAAUUUCGAAGCUUUUUUCCUUUCUCUCUACUUAUAACAAAUAUAAAAUUGUUUUCUUACAUAAGAGCCAUACAGUGAACCAAAAACAACUUGUACAUACAGAUGUUUUGACUUUGGAGGGACUUUUCUUUUAAACUAUUUCAGCUUUUAAGCUUUAACCAAUCUUAUGUAUUUUUCGUAUUUUUAUAAAUAUUUUAACAAUAAAUCAAUUUUGAUGUUAACGAUUGUCGAUAA